This is a long non-coding RNA of Mus pahari (shrew mouse), 932 nucleotides long. RefSeq lists it as uncharacterized. NCBI's taxonomy places the organism in Eukaryota, Metazoa, Chordata, Mammalia, Rodentia, Muridae. The transcript is spliced from 3 exons. The record is from RefSeq and is a predicted model, not a curated record.
UUUGCCAAACGCUUCCUUCUCGGAGAGGACGGCCACGGCGCCGCGAGCUGGGUUCGGCGGUUCCGCCAUUUUGCGCUCCUGUUGUAUUUACUCUCCGCCGCUCCCCGGAGCGGGGGCGCGGGGCGGGGUGCCUGGGUCCAGGCCGAGCUCCCAUUGGGCGCGCUGAACUGAGAGAUCCCGGAACGAACCAAUCAAAGACGCGGACAGAAGCCGCCGGGGUGGGGUCACCGAGCGGACCUUCUUUGGAGGUCAGAGGUCUUUUCGGCGCGGCUGACGGAGGGCUCGCCGAGAAGGGAGGGUCUCCGGACCGUCGCUCGGGAGCCCCGAAUCUGCCAGCACCGAGGUAGCGCUGCCGUUCGCUCAAAGACUUUGCCUUGUUUGUACCUCUCUCUCUUUUUACCUUGAGGUGGCUUGGGUCCCUUCUGCAGGUUCAGAAAAACGGUUUCUGUUGUUGCUCGUCUCGGAGAGUCCGAUCGGCAAAAGCUGAAAUGGUGAAAAGUUGCCUUAUUUUAACUAAGGUCGUAAAAGUUCGUGCUUUAAGAGAGAGUUUUCUGCAGAGCUGGAACUUGGAUCACUUCCGAUCGUGAAGAUAAUAAAUCACCCACCGUUUGGAGACUUUAAAUUGAGCUUGAGUGAUAAAGAAAGCAUUUGCUUGUGCAAAGGGGGACAAUGUCCAGGAGCAGAACUAAUGAUCUAUUAAAUAAUACACAACUAUGUUAUGUAUGCAUGGCAAAAAUUAAAUAUCCUAGCAGAAAGCGGGCGCUGCAGUGGACUGGCCUGUCUUCCUGAGGAGUAGCAUACAGUGUGGGAGACAAUAGGGCUGGCAGUCACUCACUCACCAGCCUUGAGAUUCUACUCAGGCUGCUUUGCCUGGCAAGCUCUCUGUUGUCUUAUUUGCACACUGGAGGCAGAUCUGCAGGCAAAUCUCUGAA